GUUUGAAUUUGUAUGUAUGUGUGUAACACUUUUUUAAAUAAUAUUGAAUAAUAUUUCGUAUAUUUGCGUACAUAUUAUGUAUAUUACAUACUGCUGCUGCUUAUCGUACCUUUUAGGAUUUUUUGUUCAGGUUGGAUUUUUGUAGAAAGGCAAAAGUUAGAAAAAUAUUCUAUGUAUAUAAACUUAUCGAAAAUUUUUUCUUC
Rhagoletis zephyria (snowberry fruit fly) is the source of this 203-nucleotide long non-coding RNA. RefSeq lists it as uncharacterized. NCBI's taxonomy places the organism in Eukaryota, Metazoa, Arthropoda, Insecta, Diptera, Tephritidae. The record is from RefSeq and is a predicted model, not a curated record.